Molecule: unclassified non-coding RNA, 246 nt
Filed under: uncultured fungus
Lineage: Eukaryota; Fungi
Description: partial contains 5.8S ribosomal RNA, internal transcribed spacer 2, and large subunit ribosomal RNA
Source: RNAcentral
AACGCACAUUGCGCCCGCUAGUAUUCUGGCGGGCAUGCCUGUUCGAGCGUCAUUUCAACCAUCAAGCCCCAGGCUUGCGUUGGAGCCCUGCGGCCGCCGCAGCCUCCGAAAUACAGUGGCGGGCUCGCUAUCACACCGAGUGCAGUAGAAUACUCUUCGCUCAGGGCGUGUGGCGGGUGCUGGCCGUGAAACCCCCCCCUCCUCAAGGUUGACCUCGGAUCAGGUAGGAAUACCCGCUGAACUUAA